RNAcentral lists this ribosomal RNA (435 nucleotides) under uncultured bacterium. RNAcentral's name for it is "partial 16S ribosomal RNA". It matches the Rfam family "Bacterial small subunit ribosomal RNA", at positions 29 to 507 of the family's 1533-position model. The record is from RNAcentral.
AGCGAACGCUGGCGGCAGGCUUAACACAUGCAAGUCGAACGGGCUUCUUCGGAAGUCAGUGGCAGACGGGUGAGUAACACGUGGGAACGUGCCCUUCGGUUCGGAAUAACUCAGGGUAACUUGAGCUAAUACCGGAUACGCCCUUUUGGGGAAAGGUUUACUGCCGAAGGAUCGGCCCGCGUCUGAUUAGCUUGUUGGUGGGGUAACGGCCUACCAAGGCGACGAUCAGUAGCUGGUCUGAGAGGAUGAUCAGCCACACUGGGACUGAGACACGGCCCAGACUCCUACGGGAGGCAGCAGUGGGGAAUAUUGGACAAUGGGCGCAAGCCUGAUCCAGCCAUGCCGCGUGAGUGAUGAAGGCCUUAGGGUUGUAAAGCUCUUUUGUCCGGGACGAUAAUGACGGUACCGGAAGAAUAAGCCCCGGCUAACUUCGUG